CUCACCCUCCUCUGACUACACCCAUGGUUCCUGUCUCAAGGUCCAUCACUUGGGUUUUUCUUAAAUAUUAAAAAAAAAAAAAAAAUGGAGAUGGGAAAGAAGAUGAAAUGGCAAGAUGUUGAUGGAUCUUGGAGUUGUGUGAUGGGCCACAGUGGUUUAUUGUCUUUGUUUUUAUAUCUGUAUGGUAAUGUUCAUGAUCUAAGUUAAAACUUUUGAAAAUGACAAAGAGCUCAUUGUUCUUUAAGCACUAUUUGGAAAAUACAGGAAACUAGAAAGACAAAGAUAGCUGCCCCCACCUAAGUCCCACAUCAUUACUGUAGUUCAUAUUUUGAUGUAUUUCCAUUCAGCCUUUUAAAAAUGUGUCUAUGUUUUAUAUAACUGUGUGAGCAAAUUGUUUAUACAGUCUUGCUUUUUCCCCUCUUAAAACGUAAGCCGUUCCCCUGUUAAAACGUCUUUGUGUAAACACAAUUUCUAAUGUUUGCCUGAUGUUUACUCAAUGGGCCAGUGUUGCCAGACGUUAAAGCUGUUUCCAGUUUCCUCCCAUUGUAAAUAAUGCUGUGAGGCACUUCCUCCCGCGUCCCAGAGGUGGGAUUUCUGGGCCGAAGGGUGCGGCCCCUUUGGCAGCUCAAGGUCAGACUCUCCACCGCGUUUCUGCCUGACCCGAGGUUGAAAUGACCUCAUACGGUUAAAGUGAGCUUUCACUGCUAUUUGUUAUUUCCUAAAGGUUUAAUUCAUGACUCAGCUUCAUGAAAGGAUGUCUUUUUUCCUUUUCCAGUUGCAGGAAACAGAAAUCCAUUCACACUAGCUCACGUCAAAAGGGAGUUGUCUCGGCAAGCAAAGUUAAUAUUCAGCUUGGACAACCUAUCUUGCUUUAUCAAUUGUUGAGAUGCUAAAAAUACAUCUGCAGUGGUUGGUAAGUCAUGCUGCCUCACAGCCCAGCAAAAAGCUCCUCAUCGUGAGAUCUCUCCAACUGCCCUGGCCCCUCCCCCAGGACUUCGCAGACCUCCGCACGGGGCAGCAAGAAACGUGCCAGUAUCGGCACAGCAAUGGAGCAUUCUGAUCGCUCAGUGUCCCGAGUUUUGGCUGUUAGGCAUUCUGAUCGCUCAGUGUCCCGAGUAUUGGCUGUUAGGCAUGUUGAUUCGUCCUCGAUACAAGUAACAGAAAAGCCGACCUUAAUGGCUCAAACUGUAAGGGGAAUUUGUAAUUGGAACAUCCAUAUUUGGCUGGCUUCUCCUAAAACGGACACAUCUGUCCUCCAGUGUCACCACGGACCCCAUUUCUUUUCGUUCCUCUUCCCUCUUUCCAGCGGCAGUACCGUAGACGGCUGCCAGCAGCCUCCUGGCCACAGGUAGCCUCACCCACCCUCUGCAGGUAAGUGAGGGGACCUUUCUCGCGGAAGUAGUGAGGCUGACUCUGAUUGGCCUGAUGAGAUCGCGUGUCUGUGCCAGCGCCAAUCACUGUGGCCUGGGGAGACCCGAAUGCCCAGAUUGGCAGAGCCAAGUCACAUCUCCCUCGCUGGUCAUCAUAGAACUACAAACGCACUGAGUGGUUAACACCCGCUGCUGAAGCCACAGCAGGGGUUCACAUUACAUUUUUAGCUCAGAAGUUCAGUUUCCCUUCUUACCGUCCUCUGGGUCCUGUUUGCUAGGUGUAAAAUGGAGAUAAUGACACUCACCUCCUAGGGCUGCCGUGAGGAUUCAGAUGUCUGAAGGACAGAGGCUGCAGUUGGCUCUCAGCAGCUGAUGGCUGAGAUUCUCACCCAGGGACAAUGUCGGGGACAUUUGGAAAUGUGCAGAAUAUCUAGAGGACAGACUGUGGAUGUUGGUAAAUGUCUCUCACAGGAGACAGAUAUCAUAAGAACACAACUGAAGCCUACCCACCCCACCCCUUGCCACCCUUUACCCCAUUCUUGAAAGCUUUAUUAAAAGACAGAAUCCUAAGCCUUUGAGUGCGCCUCCUCUCUGAGUCUGAGGUUGCCUGCACUCCCCUUUCUUUGCGUGUGUACUUUUUACCUUAAAUAAAGACUUUUCACUGCUCAGCUGACUGCAUUUUGUUUGCCCUCUUCCAGUGGU
Long non-coding RNA from Manis javanica (Malayan pangolin), 2072 nucleotides. RefSeq lists it as uncharacterized. NCBI's taxonomy places the organism in Eukaryota, Metazoa, Chordata, Mammalia, Pholidota, Manidae. The record is from RefSeq and is a predicted model, not a curated record.